GAUGAACGCUGGUGGCGUGCCUAAUACAUGCAAGUCGAGCGAACAGACGAGGAGCUUGCUCCUCUGACGUUAGCGGCGGACGGGUGAGUAACACGUGGAUAACCUACCUAUAAGACUGGGAUAACUUCGGGAAACCGGAGCUAAGACCGGAUAAUAUAUUGAACCGCAUGGUUCAAUAGUGAAAGACGGUUUUGCUGUCACUUAUAGAUGUAUCCGCGCCGCAUUAGCUAGUUGGUAAGGUAACGGCUUACCAAGGCGACGAUGCGUGGCCGACCUGAGAGGCAGACACGCCACACUGGACCUGAGACACGGUACAGACUCCUACGGUAGGCAGCAGUAGGGUAUCUUCCGCAAUGGGCCGAAGCCUCACGGAGCAAUGCCGCGUGAGUGAUGACGCUCCUCGGAUCGUAAGACUCUGUUAUUAGGGAAGAACAAAUGUGUAAGUAACUAUGCCCGUCUUGACGGUACCUAAUCAGAAAGCCACGGCUAACUACGUG
This 497-nucleotide ribosomal RNA is filed under the name uncultured bacterium. RNAcentral's name for it is "partial 16S ribosomal RNA". It matches the Rfam family "Bacterial small subunit ribosomal RNA", at positions 28 to 507 of the family's 1533-position model. The record is from RNAcentral.